ACAGAGGGUGCAAGCGUUAAUCGGAAUUACUGGGCGUAAAGGGUGCGUAGGUGGUCAAAUAAGUUAGGUGUGAAAGCCCCGGGCUUAACCUGGGAAUUGCGCCUAAUACUGAUUGGCUAGAGUACUGUAGAGGAAAGUGGAAUCUCCGGUGUAGCGGUGAAAUGCGUAGAUAUCGGAAGGAACAUCAGUGGCGAAGGCGACUUUCUGGACAGAUACUGACACUGAGGCACGAAAGCAUGGGGAGCAAACAGGA
This 253-nucleotide ribosomal RNA is filed under the name uncultured prokaryote. RNAcentral describes it as "partial 16S ribosomal RNA". It matches the Rfam family "Bacterial small subunit ribosomal RNA", at positions 525 to 777 of the family's 1533-position model. The record is from RNAcentral.